This 382-nucleotide long non-coding RNA is filed under the name Cricetulus griseus (Chinese hamster). Its description in RNAcentral is "lncRNA (ENSCGRG00015031416.1)". Lineage: Eukaryota; Metazoa; Chordata; Mammalia; Rodentia; Cricetidae. The record is from RNAcentral.
CCACAUUCCAUUUGGCAUGUCUGGGAGGCUUAGCCCAAUUGACCGAGCCUAGCCUCACAACAAGGCAGCUCCUUCUGUCGCUUGUCACUCUGAUUAGCCUCAAACUGUGAAAAUCAUAAUCUGCCUGUCACACCUUACCCAGUGCUGGAAUUCAUAUAUACAUCAACUCAUCUGGCUACAGUUCUAAGGAAGAAGGAAAGAAGAGGGGAGGAUACAAACAAAGGAAAAAAAACAAUGGAAAUGAGAAAGUUCAUGCGUACUGUUCUCAAAAUAGAAAAUUCUGUGAAUCCAGACUUACCUCUGAGAGAAUGUAUUUGCUAGGAAUUCCUCUAACUGGCUAUCCUCUUCCUACAGAGUCUAGCGCAUGAAUCCUAAAAUAAAG